RNAcentral lists this long non-coding RNA (344 nucleotides) under Eucalyptus grandis. RNAcentral's name for it is "long non-coding RNA (EGRA_LNC007704)". Lineage: Eukaryota; Viridiplantae; Streptophyta; Magnoliopsida; Myrtales; Myrtaceae. The record is from RNAcentral.
GGGGAAGGCGGAUCUGGCAGGGAGGCUGAACGGCGACGGCGUCAGGGCUGAGAUGAGCUCAGAUCUGUAGUCGUCGAGCGAGAUCAGCGCGGCUGAAGCAGGGGACGUCGAGCGUUGGUCGCGGAUAGGUCUCAUGGGUUGCUGGAGUUGCGGCCACCGGCGUGAAGAAACGAGCGGCGGUUGCGGUGCUACACGUCAGGGGGAAGGCGGAUUUGGCAGGACGACGAUGGUGGAGGUGCAGAGUUGUCGCAGGUCGGUGGGCGCGCGGGUAUGAGAUCGGAGCGGCAUCGGCAGGAGGGUGGCGGACGACUGGGCUACAACGGCUUCGCGGCUCGUGCGGUGAG